CCUACGGGCGGCAGCAGUGGGGGAUAUUGCACAAUGGGGGGAACCCUGAUGCAGCGACGCCGCGUGGGUGAAGGAGCGUUUCGGCGCGUAAAGCCCUAUCGGCAGGGAAGAAGGAGGACGGUACCUGACUAAGAAGCCCGGCUAACUACGUGCCAGCAGCCGCGGUAAUACGUAGGGGGAAAGCGUUAACCGGAUUUACUGGGGGUAAAGGGGGCGCAGACGGCAGGGCAAGCCAGGAGGGAAAGCCCGGGGCCCAACCCCGGGACUGCCCUUGGAACUGCCCGGCUGGAGUGCAGGAGGGGCAGGCGGAAUUCCUGGUGUAGCGGUGAAAUGCGUAGAUAUUAGGAGGAACACCAGUGGCGAAGGCGACUUUCUGGACUGUACCUGACGCUGAGGCGCGAAAGCGUGGGUAGCGAACGGGAUUAGAUACCCCAGUAGUC
RNAcentral lists this ribosomal RNA (440 nucleotides) under uncultured bacterium. RNAcentral describes it as "partial 16S ribosomal RNA". It matches the Rfam family "Bacterial small subunit ribosomal RNA", at positions 338 to 795 of the family's 1533-position model. The record is from RNAcentral.